RNAcentral lists this ribosomal RNA (174 nucleotides) under uncultured bacterium. RNAcentral's name for it is "partial 16S ribosomal RNA". It matches the Rfam family "Bacterial small subunit ribosomal RNA", at positions 335 to 526 of the family's 1533-position model. The record is from RNAcentral.
ACUCCUACGGGAGGCAUCAGUGGGGAAUAUUGCACAAUGGGCGAAAGCCUGAUGCAGCAACGCCGCGUGAGCGAUGAAGGCCUUCGGGUCGUAAAGCUCUGUCCUCAAGGAAGAUAAUGACGGUAUUUGAGGAGGAAGCCCCGGCUAACUACGUGCCAGCAGCCGCGGUAAUAC